GCCGAAGUGGCGGAAUGGUAGACGCGCUGGUCUCAAAAACCAGUGGGGGAAACCCCGUGCCGGUUCAACUCCGGCCUUCGGCA
This 83-nucleotide transfer RNA is filed under the name Actinomycetota bacterium. RNAcentral describes it as "tRNA-Leu". It matches the Rfam family "tRNA". Rfam says of the family: Transfer RNA (tRNA) molecules are approximately 80 nucleotides in length. Their secondary structure includes four short double-helical elements and three loops (D, anti-codon, and T loops). Lineage: Bacteria; Bacillati; Actinomycetota. The record is from RNAcentral.